RNAcentral lists this transfer RNA (363 nucleotides) under uncultured Microcystis sp. RNAcentral describes it as "partial 16S-23S ribosomal RNA intergenic spacer". The stretch from base 135 to 208 matches the Rfam family "tRNA". Lineage: Bacteria; Bacillati; Cyanobacteriota; Cyanophyceae; Chroococcales; Microcystaceae. The record is from RNAcentral.
AAGGGAGACCUAAUUCAGGUAGGAGACGAAAAAAAAGUAGUCGCUACCAAGAAUCAAUCCCAAAAGGUCGGAGCGAGGCGAAAUUGGCUUUCAAACUAGGUUCUGGGUUCACACAAGACCUGAAUCAGGAACAAGGGCUAUUAGCUCAGGUGGUUAGAGCGCACCCCUGAUAAGGGUGAGGUCCCUGGUUCGAGUCCAGGAUGGCCCACCUGUACAGGUGGCAAAAAGAAAGAAAAGAAGCGAGGAAUCAGCACCUUAUCUUACUGACAUAGUAAGAGAGAAUGCUGGCUCUGAGUAAAGAGUCCAGAGGAACCUUGAAAACUGCAUAGAGCUAGGUGAAAAAGCCAAAAAAGAAGACUGCAA